RNAcentral lists this ribosomal RNA (498 nucleotides) under uncultured bacterium. RNAcentral describes it as "partial 16S ribosomal RNA". It matches the Rfam family "Bacterial small subunit ribosomal RNA", at positions 29 to 507 of the family's 1533-position model. The record is from RNAcentral.
AGCGAACGCUGGCGGCGUGCCUAACACAUGCAAGUCGAACGUGAAAAGGGAAACCUGAGUAAAGUGGCGUACGGGUGAGUAACGCGUAGGUAAUCUACCCCAGAAUCUGGAAUAACCUGCCGAAAGGCGGGCUAAUACUGGAUAGAGCGAGGGAACUCGUAAGAGAGUUUUUCGGGAAAGGGAGCCCGCAAGGGCCUUCGUUCUGGGAUGAGCCUGCGUCUCAUUAGCUAGUUGGUAAGGUAACGGCUUACCAAGGCGAUGAUGAGUAGCUGGUCUGAGAGGAUGAUCAGCCACACUGGAACUGAAACACGGUCCAGACUCCUACGGGAGGCAGCAGUGGGGAACCUUGCGCAAUGGACGAAAGUCUGACGCAGCCACGCCGCGUGAGUGAAGAAGGCCUUCGGGUUGUAAAGCUCUGUCGGAUGGGACGAACAUCUUCAUAGUGAAUAGCUAUGAGGACUGACGGUACCAUCAAAGGAAGCACCGGCUAACUCCGUG